GGAAUACUAGCUUAAUGGAAGAGUAGUCGGCUUUUAACCGAUUGGUUCUGGGUUCGAUUCCCAGGUAUUCCA
Molecule: transfer RNA, 72 nt
Filed under: Nephromyces sp. ex Molgula occidentalis
Lineage: Eukaryota; Apicomplexa; Aconoidasida; Nephromycida
Description: tRNA-Lys
Rfam family: tRNA
About the family: Transfer RNA (tRNA) molecules are approximately 80 nucleotides in length. Their secondary structure includes four short double-helical elements and three loops (D, anti-codon, and T loops). Further hydrogen bonds mediate the characteristic L-shaped molecular structure. tRNAs have two regions of fundamental functional importance: the anti-codon, which is responsible for specific mRNA codon recognition, and the 3' end, to which the tRNAs corresponding amino acid is attached (by aminoacyl-tRNA synthetases). tRNAs cope with the degeneracy of the genetic code in two manners: having more than one tRNA (with a specific anti-codon) for a particular amino acid; and 'wobble' base-pairing, i.e. permitting non-standard base-pairing at the 3rd anti-codon position.
Source: RNAcentral